CAACAGGACUUUAUAGUCCACCCACAGUAAAAAUAAAAAUUAAU
Non-coding RNA from Podiceps cristatus (great crested grebe), 44 nucleotides. The record is from Rfam. Lineage: Eukaryota; Metazoa; Chordata; Aves; Podicipediformes; Podicipedidae.